RNAcentral lists this ribosomal RNA (1372 nucleotides) under uncultured bacterium. RNAcentral's name for it is "bacterial SSU rRNA". It matches the Rfam family "Bacterial small subunit ribosomal RNA", at positions 28 to 1381 of the family's 1533-position model. The record is from RNAcentral.
GAUAAACGCUGGCGGCGUGCCUAAUACAUGCAAGUCGAGCGAACGGACGAGAAGCUUGCUUCUCUGAUGUUAGCGGCGGACGGGUGAGUAACACGUGGAUAACCUACCUAUAAGACUGGGAUAACUUCGGGAAACCGGAGCUAAUACCGGAUAAUAUUUUGAACCGCAUGGUUCAAAAGUGAAAGACGGUCUUGCUGUCACUUAUAGAUGGAUCCGCGCUGCAUUAGCUAGUUGGUAAGGUAACGGCUUACCAAGGCAACGAUGCAUAGCCGACCUGAGAGGGUGAUCGGCCACACUGGAACUGAGACACGGUCCAGACUCCUACGGGAGGCAGCAGUAGGGAACCUUCCGCAAUGGGCGAAAGCCUGACGGAGCAACGCCGCGUGAGUGAUGAAGGUCUUCGGAUCGUAAAACUCUGUUAUUAGGGAAGAACAUAUGUGUAAGUAACUGUGCACAUCUUGACGGUACCUAAUCAGAAAGCCACGGCUAACUACGUGCCAGCAGCCGCGGUAAUACGUAGGUGGCAAGCGUUAUCCGGAAUUAUUGGGCGUAAAGCGCGCGUAGGCGGUUUUUUAAGUCUGAUGUGAAAGCCCACGGCUCAACCGUGGAGGGUCAGUGGAAACUGGAAAACUUGAGUGCAGAAGAGGAAAGUGGAAUUCCAUGUGUAGCGGUGAAAUGCGCAGAGAUAUGGAGGAACACCAGUGGCGAAGGCGACUUUCUGGUCUGUAACUGACGCUGAUGUGCGAAAGCGUGGGGAUCAAACAGGAUUAGAUACCCUGGUAGUCCACGCCGUAAACGAUGAGUGCUAAGUGUUAGGGGGUUUCCGCCCCUUAGUGCUGCAGCUAACGCAUUAAGCACUCCGCCUGGGGAGUACGACCGCAAGGCUGAAACUCAAAGGAAUUGACGGGGACCCGCACAAGCGGUGGAGCAUGUGGUUUAAUUCGAAACAACGCGAAGAACCUUACCAAAUCUUGACAUCCUUUGACAACUCUAGAGAUAGAGCCUUCCCCUUCGGGGGACAAAGUGACAGGUGGUGCAUGGUUGUCGUCAGCUCGUGUCGUGAGAUGUUGGGUUAAGUCCCGCAACGAGCGCAACCCUUAAGCUUAGUUGCCAUCAUUAAGUUGGGCACUCUAAGUUGACUGCCGGUGACAAACCGGAGGAAGGUGGGGAUGACGUCAAAUCAUCAUGCCCCUUAUGAUUUGGGCUACACACGUGCUACAAUGGACAAUACAAAGGGCAGCGAAACCGCGAGGUCAAGCAAAUCCCAUAAAGUUGUUCUCAGUUCGGAUUGUAGUCUGCAACUCGACUACAUGAAGCUGGAAUCGCUAGUAAUCGUAGAUCAGCAUGCUACGGUGAAUACGUUCCCGGGUCU